Molecule: long non-coding RNA, 299 nt
Organism: Bombina bombina (fire-bellied toad)
Lineage: Eukaryota; Metazoa; Chordata; Amphibia; Anura; Bombinatoridae
Exons: 4
Source: RefSeq, a predicted model, not a curated record
GGAAGUAGGGCUUGUGAGGAGUCGGGAGCCAAAUGAUUUGGCUGGAUUUUAAUCCGAAAACAUAAAGAACACUCCUGGAAGUUAUUUUUCAUAAGAAGAAAGUGCCAGAAACCUUUGAAAAGAAGAAGGGACAGGGGAUUUCGAUGUUCUGAACAGUGGAGUUCCCAGGCAGCAGACAGUAGAUAUAAAGCAAUAUACCAAGCUACUGUUGCAGCACUGUAUUCCUUCAUCUUGGCUGGGGUCAUAUUCUGAGUGAUAUUAACCACAUUUCAAACAACUGCAAUGCAAAAUAUAAGGUA